RNAcentral lists this microRNA precursor (73 nucleotides) under Polistes canadensis. RNAcentral describes it as "microRNA pca-mir-31 precursor". Its record names the gene pca-mir-31. It matches the Rfam family "mir-31 microRNA precursor family", at positions 1 to 74 of the family's 83-position model. The record is from miRBase by way of RNAcentral. Lineage: Eukaryota; Metazoa; Arthropoda; Insecta; Hymenoptera; Vespidae.
UGGGCGCCUGGAAGGCAAGAUGUCGGCAUAGCUGAUGAAUUUCGAUAUUCGGCUGUGUCACAUCCAGCCAACC